GGCCCCAUAGCUCAGCAGGAUAGAGCGAUCGCCUCCUAAGCGAUAGGUCGCCGGUUCGAUUCCAGCUGGGGUCA
RNAcentral lists this transfer RNA (74 nucleotides) under Lactobacillus selangorensis. RNAcentral's name for it is "Paralactobacillus selangorensis tRNA". It matches the Rfam family "tRNA". From Rfam's summary of the family: Transfer RNA (tRNA) molecules are approximately 80 nucleotides in length. Their secondary structure includes four short double-helical elements and three loops (D, anti-codon, and T loops). The record is from Rfam by way of RNAcentral. Lineage: Bacteria; Bacillati; Bacillota; Bacilli; Lactobacillales; Lactobacillaceae.